RNAcentral lists this ribosomal RNA (503 nucleotides) under uncultured bacterium. RNAcentral describes it as "partial 16S ribosomal RNA". It matches the Rfam family "Bacterial small subunit ribosomal RNA", at positions 28 to 523 of the family's 1533-position model. The record is from RNAcentral.
GAUGAACGCUAGCGGCAGGCCUAACACAUGCAGGUCGAGGGGUAGCAGGAUUAAGCUUGCUUAAUUGCUGACGACCGGCGCACGGGUGCGUAACGCGUAUGCAACCUACCUUAUACUGGGGUAUAGCCCGGAGAAAUUCGGAUUAAUCCCCCAUAGUACUAAUGAAUCGCAUGGUUUAUUAGUUAAAGCAUUGCGGUAUAAGAUGGGCAUGCGUCCUAUUAGCUAGAUGGUGAGGUAACGGCUCACCAUGGCUACGAUAGGUAGGGGGCCUGAGAGGGUGGUCCCCCACACUGGUACUGAGACACGGACCAGACUCCUACGGGAGGCAGCAGUGAGGAAUAUUGGUCAAUGGGCGCAAGCCUGAACCAGCCAUGCCGCGUGCAGGAAGAAUGCCUUAUGGGUUGUAAACUGCUUUUAUUUGGGAAUAAACCUCUUUACGUGUAGAGAGCUGAAGGUACCAAAUGAAUAAGCACCGGCUAACUCCGUGCCAGCCGCCGCGGUAA